RNAcentral lists this small RNA (1639 nucleotides) under Pan troglodytes (chimpanzee). RNAcentral describes it as "processed transcript". The record is from RNAcentral. Lineage: Eukaryota; Metazoa; Chordata; Mammalia; Primates; Hominidae.
UUUUUUUUUCCCCGGUAGGUCGCCAGCUGAGGCGGUUUGUAAGUUUUGGGUCUCAGUAUGCUAGAAUUUUGAGGCUCCCUUCUGAUGAAAAUUGAGCUGUCCAUGCAGCCAUGGAACCUGGGUUACAGCAGUGAGGGGGCCACGGCUCAAGAAACUUACACAUGUCCAAAAAUGAUUGAGAUAGAGCAGGCGGAGGCCCAGCUUGCUGAGUUAGACCUGCUAGCCAGUAUGUUCCCUGGUGAGAAUGAGCUCAUAGUGAAUGACCAGCUGGCUGUAGCAGAACUGAAAGAUUGUAUUGAAAAGAAGACAAUGGAGGGGCGAUCUUCAAAAGUCUACUUUACUAUCAAUAUGAACCUGGAUGUAUCUGAUGAAAAAAUGAUCAGUAUUAUUGAGUAGAUCCCAGCAGACUCAGCUGAACACAGAUCUGACUGCAUUCCUGCAAAAACAUUGUCAUGGAGAUGUUUGUAUACUGAAUGCCACAGAGUGGGUUAGAGAACACGCCUCUGGCUAUGUCAGCAGAGAUACUUCAUCUUCACCCACCACAGGAAGGACAGUCCAGUCAGUUGACCUCAUCUUCACGAGACUCUGGAUCUACAGCCAUCAUAUCUAUAACAAAUGCAAAAGAAAGAAUAUUCUAGAGUGGUCAAAGGAGCUUUCCCUGUCUGGGUUUAGCAUGCCUGGAAAACCUGGUGUUGUUUGUGUGGAAGGCCCACAAAGUGCCUGUGAAGAAUUCUGGUCAAGACUCAGAAAAUUAAACUGGAAGAGAAUUUUAAUUCGCCAUCGAGAAGACAUUCCUUUUGAUGGUACAAAUGAUGAAAUGGAAAGACAAAGGAAAUUUUCCAUUUUUGAAGAAAAAGUGUUCAGUGUUAAUGGAGCCAGGGGAAACCACAUGGACUUUGGUCAGCUCUAUCAGUUCUUAAACACCAAAGGAUGUGGGGAUGUUUUCCAGAUGUUCUUUGGUGUAGAAGGACAAUGACAUCAAGAGUAGUUGAAAGUAUCUUGCCACUGUUGGCCUUUUGAUUUUUUUUUCCCACUUUUUCUUGAAAGAUUAAGUAAUUUUAUUUUAGUUCCAUUCUAGAAUGUUGGGGAGUGGGGCACAAGAAAAAAUAGUAUAGCUGAAAUGCAUCUGUUAAAAAUGUCAUGAUUGAAAGCAGAACUGAGUUUCAAAUUACAACCUUAAAAUUGUUGUUAGAUAUUUCUUCACAUAUCAGCUGCCCAUUUUGAAAAAGAAAUUAUCCAUAAAGGUAAUGUUGGUGCUCCAAUUUGCCAGCCAUUCCCAACCCCCUUCUCCCUUACCUGCCUUCACUAAAGAACCCAGAAAAGCUAAUUGCUCCCCUUUCAGCCUCUGUUGCAACUAACAACUCUCAGUGGCCUCAGGACACAGCUUUGGCCUUGGGAAUUCUGGGAAAACUUUUACUUCCUGAUUAAAGAUACAUAUGCAGCUAGGCCACCUCCUCCCCCCCUUACUGCCAUAAACACCAAAGUGAUGACUGGAGCUGGAGGAGUUAUUUGAACCAUGACAGAAGGAAGGGCCAAGAGAACCACGAAGAUGCCAGUUGCCACAUUGUUGAGCUGCUGACCCAACACCAGCCAUUGCCUGUCUCUAAACGUCUUAUGAAAUAAAACCAGUUUUGUUUAA